Engraulis encrasicolus (European anchovy) is the source of this 309-nucleotide long non-coding RNA. RefSeq lists it as uncharacterized. The record is from RefSeq and is a predicted model, not a curated record. The transcript is spliced from 3 exons. Lineage: Eukaryota; Metazoa; Chordata; Actinopteri; Clupeiformes; Engraulidae.
AGAUCGCCGCACCACCUACUAUGGGAAUCAAAGUUGCUCUCGUGUGGAUCAUUCCAGUGCUAUGCCAUAUCAGGCCAAUUGAAUCCAACAACGGCCCUUCUGAAGUGGAGCAACAGGUUGCAUGGAGGCCCACAGGUACUUGGGCUGUGCACUUCUAUGCUGCACACCCAUCAUCAAUUGUUGGAGCAAGGCACCCCAUCACCUUCUCCGAUGUCAUUCUGAACGAAGGAUUUGCCUUUAGUGGGAAGUCUGGAAUCUUCACAGCUCCCGUUCAUGGAAUCUACCAGUUUUUCUUCUCAGCAACGUGUG